CAGAAAAUAGUUUAAAAAAAAUAUAAGCUUUGGAAGUUUAAGAUAGAAUAAUCUUUUUCUGA
RNAcentral lists this transfer RNA (62 nucleotides) under Babras sonorivox. RNAcentral's name for it is "tRNA-Pro". The record is from RNAcentral. Lineage: Eukaryota; Metazoa; Arthropoda; Insecta; Hemiptera; Cicadidae.